AGUGGAGUAAGGGACAGGUAAUGAAGACGAAAACUAUGGUACGGCAACGGUUGGAUUCGGGUGAGAUCGUUCGAGACGCGCCUUCUCCAUGGCGCAGAUGUGCUGUGAGAGAUUGUGGAAUCUCGUUUGAAUCCGUUCCUCUCUGCAAUCCGUAGGCAACCGCACUUUAGUAAGCGCCAAGACUCAGGGGUGCAUAUCAUCAGCACAAAGGUAGCCUGUCAAAUGCAACAUUACAACACUGCUUAGGUCUUAUGACGUACCUGACUGUCUCCAAGUUGACGAUGACCGAAAGUUUGAGAUUGAUAGCGAAUGAAUCGCUGACCAUCUGCUGAGGUUUAUCUCCAGGG
RNAcentral lists this long non-coding RNA (347 nucleotides) under Coccomyxa subellipsoidea. RNAcentral's name for it is "long non-coding RNA (CSUB_LNC000296)". The record is from RNAcentral. Lineage: Eukaryota; Viridiplantae; Chlorophyta; Trebouxiophyceae; Coccomyxaceae.